This is a long non-coding RNA of Hemicordylus capensis (graceful crag lizard), 1568 nucleotides long. RefSeq lists it as uncharacterized. NCBI's taxonomy places the organism in Eukaryota, Metazoa, Chordata, Lepidosauria, Squamata, Cordylidae. The transcript is spliced from 3 exons. The record is from RefSeq and is a predicted model, not a curated record.
GGGCUGGGCUUCUCCCGGUUUUCCCCCAUCGUGAGAAUAGCCUUACAGUCUUCUUGUUAUUCAGUCAACAAGUAAUACAUGUUACAGUUCUUCUAAGCACCACUGGUUGAGGAGACAAAGUCUCCAAACAAUCUCAAAACUUCCAGUCAUUUCAGUAUCAGGCGCGUAACAACGAUCGGGCAAGGGGAGACAGUUGUCUGGGGGCCCCACUGCCUGGAGGGGCCCCCCAGAGGCACCUCACGUGACUCCCCAUUGCCCCCUGCCCAGCCCCAAGGCCCCUCAGCCACUUGCCCUGUUCGCCGUCUCUCCAGCUUGUUCUCCUGGCCGGCAAUCAAGCAGCAGGCAAGCUGCAAAGAGCUCCUUUUCUCCCGCCUCUCAGCUGAUCGGCGGGUGGGCGGGGCUUCCACGGAGGUCUGGUGUAGGCCUCUGUGAAGCCUGAACUCGAGUAGGGCCCAAGCCAGCCAGGAAGGAGGAGGCAGCCAGAGUGGCCACCACUGUUCUCUGCAGCAGAAGACCCCUUGCUGCCAGCAAUCCAAGUUGUUCUUUGGCCAAGGCUAGGAUGGUGAGUGCCACAUUCAAAGCAAAGGACAGAAUGCAGAAGCAGAGGGUUUCAGGCUGGGAUCUUUCCCAGCCCAGCCUGCAUGAAUGGGAAGGUUGAAGAAGAAUACCAGCGACUUAUUCUGCAUGAAUGAUACCAGCUCCUUGUCUUCCCAGUUUAAACUUGAAGGCCACAACCUGUUAAUUCAUACUGAAAACAAAUUCAACGAAAUGACUCCAGGUGAGAUACUCAGAGAUAUGCUGCUAUAUGUAGAAAGCAAAACCAUUACAAUGUUUCAUUUCUCCACCUUUCAAAUGUAAAAACUAGGCUGAACAACUUUCUAACUCUGCUUCUUAGAAAAUCUAGUGCCUCUUCCAAGCUCACAAUUCUUUUGCUCAAUUAACUGAAGUGAAAUUCAUCUUAUUGCAUCCUCUUUCAUUGAGUUUAUUGUUGUUCUACCAUUAAUACUGUGUUGAACAUUACGUAACACAAGCAGCACAUUUGAUGUACUUGAUGAAGUCUGGACUUUUGCAACAUGAUUUACAGAUAAAAGUCACCAACUGGUCUAACUUGGUUUUACAGCUGAGACAAGUCAGAAGUGUCUUAUUGCUUUGUUUUAUUGCAAUUAAAUAGAUCAGAUUUAGUAGUGGUACUGAAUGAUGCAGAGCUUCUUAAAAGAUAUAUAAAAUAAUUUACCUUAGAACGUCACAAUAACUUUAUACUCCUAGUGAAUUUUCUAGACAUAACAGCAGUGGCUGUAGACAUUAUUGGAUUUUGGAGCAUUUGGACCAGUGUUUUCACUGUUCCAAGACUGUUCUCCUCUUGACAAAGACCAACAUCGAAAUGGCGGUCACUGGGUCACCACUGUAGAUUUGUGGACUUGUUUAUAACAGACUAGUUUACUCUCGACACAAUGGACUUUACAGUUUCUCCAGUGCAAUACAUUUAGUUUCAUCUAUGUGAUUUACAAUUGUUAUCUUUUGUUUUAACUUAUGUUGAUAAUAUCUUUGAUUAUAAAAUUAUAAUGGUC